CCUACGGGUGGCAGCAGUGAGGAAUAUUGGUCAAUGGGCGCGAGCCUGAACCAGCCAAGUAGCGUGAAGGAUGACUGCCCUACGGGUUGUAAACUCCUUUUAUAAGGGAAUAAAGUGAGGCACGUGUGCCCUCCUGUAUGUACUUUAUGAAUAAGGACCGGCUAAUUCCGUGCCAGCAGCCGCGGUAAUCCGGAGGAGCCGAGCGUUAUCCGGAUUUAUUGGGUUGAAAGGGAGCGUAGAUGGGUUGUUAAGUCAGUUGGGAAAGUUUGCGGCUCAAACGUAGAAUUGCAAUUGAUACUGGCAGGCUUGAGUGCAGUUGAGGUAGGCGGAAUUCGUGGUGUAGCGGUGAAAUGCUUAGAUAUCACGAAGAACCCCGAUUGCGAAGGCAGCUUACUAAACUGUGACUGACAUUGAUGCUCGAAAGUGUGGGUAUCAAACAGGAUUAGAUACCCGAGUAGUC
This 460-nucleotide ribosomal RNA is filed under the name uncultured bacterium. Its description in RNAcentral is "partial 16S ribosomal RNA". It matches the Rfam family "Bacterial small subunit ribosomal RNA", at positions 338 to 795 of the family's 1533-position model. The record is from RNAcentral.